This is a long non-coding RNA of Cimex lectularius (bed bug), 394 nucleotides long. RefSeq lists it as uncharacterized. NCBI's taxonomy places the organism in Eukaryota, Metazoa, Arthropoda, Insecta, Hemiptera, Cimicidae. The record is from RefSeq and is a predicted model, not a curated record. The transcript has 3 exons.
GACGACUAGAAGCGCGCUUGCAGCUCCUUCAACCUGAUGGUGAGAUUUAAGUUUGAUAUCGGGAGAAUUGAAAACAACGAAUUUAUGAGCUAUGUGUCCGCUUAGGCUCGCUUGUUUUCACCUUUGCCAAGCCUUGAAUUUAGCCCAUCAAAGCCAGAAAAACCCACCUAUGCUCGAAACGUCCGGCGAUUUUCCUUGUUUACCCGGUUCCCGUCAGCGUUUUGCCCGUCCAGAGGAGCGACGACCCUCUCCAUGAAAUUUGUCUACGCAUUCAACAGAGGCCAGGAAGUGUUUCGAAAAUUGGGUUACUCCUGAUUGUUCCAGAAAAACCGAGCGGUAAGCUAUUCUCGACCGAUUUGAGCCACGGGUGACUGAACCCCUGUGAUAUCGCAAC